RNAcentral lists this long non-coding RNA (273 nucleotides) under Elaeis guineensis (African oil palm). Its description in RNAcentral is "long non-coding RNA (EGUI_LNC017079)". Lineage: Eukaryota; Viridiplantae; Streptophyta; Magnoliopsida; Arecales; Arecaceae. The record is from RNAcentral.
GGAUAUUAAGUCUUUUCACUAUUUAUUUUUAUUUGGUCAUCUUAUUCAACAUGAAUGGUAUUGAUUUACAAACAAGCAACUAGUUACAUAAGUGGCCGAUAUGAUUAAUACUUUCAAUUUGAGAGGCAUUAUAAAAUUGGAAGCAAUGACAAUCCUAGUAAAUAUUUUGAGGUUUAAGGAUUUUCAAAAAAGAUCUUCUUCUCUUUCUCCUCGAUACCUUAUUAGAGAUGAUGUAUAGUGGCAGUCGCUUGCCGGAGAGGAGAAAAUAAGAGG